CAGAGGAUAUUUUAUUAUAAAAUGUUAAUUUUGGAGAUUAAUGAAGGGAUUAUUUAUCUUUUCUCUGA
RNAcentral lists this transfer RNA (68 nucleotides) under Hebardina formosana. Its description in RNAcentral is "tRNA-Pro". Lineage: Eukaryota; Metazoa; Arthropoda; Insecta; Blattodea; Blattidae. The record is from RNAcentral.